This 950-nucleotide long non-coding RNA is filed under the name Gallus gallus (chicken). RNAcentral describes it as "lncRNA (ENSGALG00010000132.1)". Lineage: Eukaryota; Metazoa; Chordata; Aves; Galliformes; Phasianidae. The record is from RNAcentral.
UUAUGGGGUUGGGUUGGGGUUAAAGGUUAAGGGUUAGGGUUAUGGGGUUGGGUUAGGGUUAAAGAUUAUGGGGUUGGGUUGGCGUAAAAGGAUUUGGGUUAGGGUUAUGGGGUUGGGUUAGGGUUAAAGGUUAUGGGUUAAGGUUAUGGGGUUGGGUUCGAGUUAAGGUUUAUGGGGUUGGUUUGGGGUUAAAGGUUAUGGGUUAAGGUUAUGGGCUUGGGUUGGGGUUAAAGGUUAUGGGUUAGGGUUAGAGGUGAUGGGAUAGGGUUAUGGGGUUGGGUUGGAGUUAAAGGUUAUGGGUUAGGGUUAUGGGGUUGGGUUUGGGUUAAGGGUUAUGGGGUUGGGUUGGGGUUAAAGGUUAUGGGUUAGGGUUAAAGCUUAUGGGUUAGGGUUAUGGGGUUGGGUUGGGGUUAAAGGUUAUGGGUUAGGGUUAAAGCUUAUGGGUUAGGGUUAUGGGGUUGGGUUGGGGUUAAAGGUUAUGGGUUAGGGUUAUGGGGUUGGGUUUGGGUUAAGGGUUAUGGGGUUGGGUUGGGGUUAAAGGAUAUGGGUUAGGGUUAUGGGGUUGGGUUAGGGUUAAAGGUUAUGGGUUAAUGUUAUGGGGUUCGGUUCGAGUUAAGGUUUAUGGGGUUCGGUUUGGGUUAAGGGUAAUGGGGUUGGGUUGCGGUUAAAGGUUAUGGGAUAGGGUUAUGGGGAUUAAAGGCUAAGGGUUAAGGGUUAUAGUUACGGGGCGGGUGUUAACGGUCAAAGGUUAUGGGGUUGGGGUUAAAGGUUAUGGGUUAGGGUUAAAGGUUAUGGGUUUGGUUUAUGGGUUACGGGGUUGCGUUGGGGUUAAAGGUGAAGGGUUAAAGAUAUGGGCUGGGUUAAAGGUUAAGGGUUAAAGGUUAAGGGUUACGAUUACGGGGCGGGGGUUAAAGGUCAAAGGUUAUGGGGCUAUGGGGUUGGGGUUAAAG